This 441-nucleotide ribosomal RNA is filed under the name uncultured soil bacterium. Its description in RNAcentral is "bacterial SSU rRNA". It matches the Rfam family "Bacterial small subunit ribosomal RNA", at positions 26 to 478 of the family's 1533-position model. The record is from RNAcentral.
AGAUUGAACGCUGGCGGCAUGCCUAACACAUGCAAGUCGAACGGGAGUAGCAAUACUCUAGUGGCGGACGGGUGAGGAAUACGUAGGAAUUUGCCCUUAAGUGGGGGAUAACCCGGGGAAACCCGGAUUAAUACCGCACGACCUCGAAAGAGCAAAGUGGGGGAUCGCAAGACCUCACGCUUUUGGAGAAGCCUACGUCGGAUUAGCUAGUUGGUGAGGUAAUGGCUCACCAAGGCACGAUCCGUAACUGGUCUGAGAGGAUGAUCAGUCACACCGGAACUGAGACACGGUCCGGACUCCGUACGGGAGGCAGCAGUAGGGGAAUAGUUAGGACAAGUGGGACGCAAGGCCUGAUCCAGCAAUGCCGCGUGUGUAGAAGAGGCCGUUACGGUUAGUAAGACGUACGUUUAAGGUUAGGAAGUAAAAACUCGACUACAACAC